RNAcentral lists this unclassified non-coding RNA (329 nucleotides) under soil metagenome. RNAcentral describes it as "partial contains 5.8S ribosomal RNA, internal transcribed spacer 2, and large subunit ribosomal RNA". The stretch from base 1 to 120 matches the Rfam family "5.8S ribosomal RNA", at positions 35 to 154 of the family's 154-position model. The record is from RNAcentral.
GAUGAAGAACGCAGCGAAAUGCGAUAAGUAAUGUGAAUUGCAGAAUUCAGUGAAUCAUCGAAUCUUUGAACGCACAUUGCGCCCCCUGGUAUUCCGGGGGGCAUGCCUGUCCGAGCGUCAUUACAACCCUCAAGCUCAGCUUGGUGUUGGGCCCCGCCGCCCCGGCGGGCCCUAAAGUCAGUGGCGGUGCCGUCCGGCUCCGAGCGUAGUAAUUCUUCUCGCUCCGGAGGUCCGGUCGUGUGCUCGCCAGCAACCCCCAAUUUUUUUCAGGUUGACCUCGGAUCAGGUAGGGAUACCCGCUGAACUUAAGCAUAUCAAUAAGCGGAGGA